RNAcentral lists this ribosomal RNA (496 nucleotides) under uncultured bacterium. RNAcentral describes it as "partial 16S ribosomal RNA". It matches the Rfam family "Bacterial small subunit ribosomal RNA", at positions 29 to 507 of the family's 1533-position model. The record is from RNAcentral.
AUGAACGCUGGCGGCGUGCCUAAUACAUGCAAGUCGAGCGAACAGACGAGGGGCUUGCUCCUCUGACGUUAGCGGCGGACGGGUGAGUAACACGUGGAUAACCUACCUAUAAGACUGGGAUAACUUCGGGAUACCGGAGCUAAUACCGGAUAAUAUAUUGAACCGCAUGGUUCAAUAGUGAAAGACGGUUUUGCUGUCACUUAUAGAUGGAUCCGCGCCGCAUUAGCUAGUUGGUAAGGUAACGGCUUACCAAGGCAACGAUGCGUAGCCGACCUGAGAGGGUGAUCGGCCACACUGGAACUGAGACACGGUCCAGACUCCUACGGGAGGCAGCAGUAGGGAAUCUUCCGCAAAGGGCGAAAGCCUGACGGAGCAACGCCGCGUGAGUGAUGAAGGUCUUCGGAUCGUAAAACUCUGUUAUUAGGGAAGAACAAAUGUGUAAGUAACUAUGCACGUCUUGACGGUACCUAAUCAGAAAGCCACGGCUAACUACGUG